Molecule: transfer RNA, 87 nt
Filed under: Minisyncoccota bacterium
Lineage: Bacteria; Bacillati; Minisyncoccota
Description: tRNA-Ser
Rfam family: tRNA
About the family: Transfer RNA (tRNA) molecules are approximately 80 nucleotides in length. Their secondary structure includes four short double-helical elements and three loops (D, anti-codon, and T loops).
Source: RNAcentral
GGAAGGGUCGCAUAGUGGUCUAGUGCGCUCGCUUGGAAAGCGGGUGUGCCUUAACCGGCACCGAGAGUUCAAAUCUCUCCCCUUCCG